UAAGGAAUAUUGCUUAAUGGGCGAAAGCCUGAAGCAGCAACGCCGCGUGAACGAAGAAGGCCUUCGGGUCGUAAAGUUCUUUUACGUGGGAUGAGGAAGGACAGUACCACGAGAAUAAGUCUCGGCUAACUACGUGCCAGCAGCCGCGGUAAAACGUAGGAGACGAGCGUUAUCCGGAUUCACUGGGCGUAAAGCGCGUGUAGGAGGCGCUACAAGUUGGAUGUGAAAGCUCCCGGCUUAACUGGGAGAGGUCGUUCAAGACUGUAGAGCUAGAGUGAGGCAGAGGUAGAUGGAACUCCGGGAGUAGUGGUGAAAUGCGUAGAUAUCCGGAAGAACACCAGAGGCGAAAGCGAUCUACUGGACCUAAACCGACACUGAGACGCGAAAGCCAGGGUAGCAAACGG
This 404-nucleotide ribosomal RNA is filed under the name uncultured bacterium. RNAcentral's name for it is "bacterial SSU rRNA". It matches the Rfam family "Bacterial small subunit ribosomal RNA", at positions 355 to 775 of the family's 1533-position model. The record is from RNAcentral.